UACGUAGGGUGCAAGCGUUAAUCGGAAUUACUGGGCGUAAAGCGUGCGCAGGCGGUUGUGCAAGACCGAUGUGAAAUCCCCGGGCUUAACCUGGGAAUGGCAUUGGUGACUGCACGGCUAGAGUGUGUCAGAGGGGGGUAGAAUUCCACGUGUAGCAGUGAAAUGCGUAGAGGUGUGGAGGAAUACCGAUGGCGAAGGCAGCCCCCUGGGAUAACACUGACGCUCAUGCACGAAAGCGUGGGGAGCAAACAGG
RNAcentral lists this ribosomal RNA (253 nucleotides) under uncultured bacterium. RNAcentral's name for it is "partial 16S ribosomal RNA". It matches the Rfam family "Bacterial small subunit ribosomal RNA", at positions 524 to 776 of the family's 1533-position model. The record is from RNAcentral.